CAAAUGGCGGAAGAUUAUUCCAUUCAUUAAAAAACAUAUAGUACAACAAACAUCGCACUAUAUGUUUUUUAAUGAAUGGAAUAAUCUUCCGCCAUUUGUUGAAAAA
Paramuricea clavata is the source of this 106-nucleotide non-coding RNA. The record is from the annotation of a GenBank genome assembly. Lineage: Eukaryota; Metazoa; Cnidaria; Anthozoa; Malacalcyonacea; Plexauridae.